Molecule: ribosomal RNA, 207 nt
Filed under: uncultured bacterium
Lineage: Bacteria
Description: partial 16S ribosomal RNA
Rfam family: Bacterial small subunit ribosomal RNA
Source: RNAcentral
UCCGUAGACUGUAUUGUAAGUUAUUUGUUAAAUCCUAAAGCCUAACUUUAGAAAAGCAUUUAAUACUACUAUACUUGAGUUUUUUGUCAGAAGAGUAGAAUUUCAUGUCGAGGAGUAACGACUGCAGACACAUGAAGGAAUAUCAGCAGCGAAGGCGGCUCUUUGGUAAAAACCGACGUUGAGGGACGAAAGUGUAGGUAGCAAACA